This 460-nucleotide ribosomal RNA is filed under the name uncultured bacterium. RNAcentral describes it as "partial 16S ribosomal RNA". It matches the Rfam family "Bacterial small subunit ribosomal RNA", at positions 338 to 795 of the family's 1533-position model. The record is from RNAcentral.
CCUACGUGAGGCAGCAGUGAGGAAUAUUGGUCAAUGGGCGCGAGCCUGAACCAGCCAAGUAGCGUGAAGGAUGACUGCCCUACGGGUUGUAAACUUCUUUUAUAAAGGAAUAAAGUGAGGCACGUGUGCCUUUUUGUAUGUACUUUAUGAAUAAGGAUCGGCUAACUCCGUGCCAGCAGCCGCGGUAAUACGGAGGAUCCGAGCGUUAUCCGGAUUUAUUGGGUUUAAAGGGAGCGUAGAUGGGUUGUUAAGUCAGUUGUGAAAGUUUGCGGCUCAACCGUAAAAUCGCAAUUGAUACUGGCAGUCUUGAGUACAGUUGAGGUAGGCGGAAUUCGUGGUGUAGCGGUGAAAUGCUUAGAUAUCACGAAGAACUCCGAUUGCGAAGGCAGCUUACUAAACUGCCACUGACAUUGAUGCUCGAAAGUGUGGGUAUCAAACAGGAUUAGAUACCCCAGUAGUC